GACGAACGCUGGCGGCGUGCUUAACACAUGCAAGUCGAACGGAAAGGCCCUGCUUUUGUGGGGUGCUCGAGUGGCGAACGGGUGAGUAACACGUGAGUAACCUGCCCUUGACUUUGGGAUAACUUCAGGAAACUGGGGCUAAUACCGGAUAGGAGCUCCUGCUGCAUGGUGGGGGUUGGAAAGUUUCGGCGGUUGGGGAUGGACUCGCGGCUUAUCAGCUUGUUGGUGGGGUAGUGGCUUACCAAGGCUUUGACGGGUAGCCGGCCUGAGAGGGUGACCGGCCACAUUGGGAUUGGGAUACGGCCCAGACUCCUCCGGGAGGCAGCAGUGGGGAAUAUUGCACAAUGGGCGGAAGCCUGAUGCAGCAACGCCGCGUGCGGGAUGACGGCCUUCGGGUUGUAAACCGAUUUCGCCUGUGACGAAGCGUGAGUGACGGUAAUGGGUAAAGAAGCACCGGCUAACUACGUG
This 468-nucleotide ribosomal RNA is filed under the name uncultured bacterium. RNAcentral's name for it is "partial 16S ribosomal RNA". It matches the Rfam family "Bacterial small subunit ribosomal RNA", at positions 28 to 507 of the family's 1533-position model. The record is from RNAcentral.